UACGAAGGGGGCGAGCGUUGUUCGGAAUUACUGGGCGUAAAGGGCGCGCAGGCGGCUCUGAAAGUCAGAUGUGAAAGCCCCGGGCUUAACUCGGAACGGCCAAGUGAAACUGUCAAGCUAGAGUGCAGAAGGGGCAAUCGGAAUUCUUGGUGUAGCGGUGAAAUGCGUAGAUAUCAAGAGGAACACCUGAGGUGAAGACGGGUUGCUGGGCUGACACUGACGCUGAGGCGCGAAAGCCAGGGGAGCAAACGGG
RNAcentral lists this ribosomal RNA (253 nucleotides) under uncultured bacterium. RNAcentral's name for it is "partial 16S ribosomal RNA". It matches the Rfam family "Bacterial small subunit ribosomal RNA", at positions 524 to 776 of the family's 1533-position model. The record is from RNAcentral.